UGGGGAAUUUUGCGCAAUGGACGAAAGUCUGACGCAGCAACGCCGCGUGGGUGAUGAAGGUCUUCGGAUUGUAAAACCCUGUCGUCGGGGACGAAGGUUGGGGCCAUAACAUGGUUUCAGCUUGACGGUACCCGGAGAGGAAGCCCCGGCUAACUCUGUGCCAGCAGCCGCGGUAAUACAGAGGGGACAAGCGUUAUUCGGAAUUAUUGGGCGUAAAGGGCGCGUAGGCGGUUUUUUAAGUCGGCUGGGUAAUCCCCGAGCUUAACUUGGGAACUGCAUCCGAGACUGGAAGGCUAGAGUGCUGGAGAGGGUGGUGGAAUUCCACGUGUAGCGGUGAAAUGCGUAGAGAUGUGGAGGAACACCAGUGGCGAAGGCGGCCACCUGGACAGUAACUGACGCUGAGGCGCGAAAGUGUGGGUAGCAAACA
This 427-nucleotide ribosomal RNA is filed under the name uncultured prokaryote. RNAcentral describes it as "bacterial SSU rRNA". It matches the Rfam family "Bacterial small subunit ribosomal RNA", at positions 355 to 774 of the family's 1533-position model. The record is from RNAcentral.